Molecule: ribosomal RNA, 817 nt
Filed under: Oxalobacteraceae sp. CFBP 8763
Lineage: Bacteria; Pseudomonadati; Pseudomonadota; Betaproteobacteria; Burkholderiales; Oxalobacteraceae
Also listed under: 2 other names
Description: partial 23S ribosomal RNA
Rfam family: Bacterial large subunit ribosomal RNA
Source: RNAcentral
GAACGGUGGUACUAAGCAUACGACAAGUAGGGCGGGACACGAGAAAUCCUGUCUGAACAUGGGGGGACCAUCCUCCAAGGCUAAAUACUCGUAAUCGACCGAUAGUGAACCAGUACCGUGAGGGAAAGGCGAAAAGAACCCCGGGAGGGGAGUGAAAUAGAUCCUGAAACCGUGUGCAUACAAACAGUAGGAGCGGACUUGUUCCGUGACUGCGUACCUUUUGUAUAAUGGGUCAGCGACUUACAUUCAGUGGCAAGGUUAACCGUAUAGGGGAGCCGUAGAGAAAUCGAGUCCGAAUAGGGCGACAGUCGCUGGGUGUAGACCCGAAACCAAGUGAUCUACCCAUGGCCAGGAUGAAGGUGCGGUAACACGCCCUGGAGGUCCGAACCCACUAAUGUUGAAAAAUUAGGGGAUGAGCUGUGGGUAGGGGUGAAAGGCUAAACAAACUUGGAAAUAGCUGGUUCUCUCCGAAAACUAUUUAGGUAGUGCCUCAAGUAUCACCAUCGGGGGUAGAGCACUGUUAUGGCUAGGGGGUCAUUGCGACUUACCAAACCAUUGCAAACUCCGAAUACCGAUGAGUGCGAGCUUGGGAGACAGACAUCGGGUGCUAACGUCCGGUGUCAAGAGGGAAACAACCCAGACCGCCAGCUAAGGUCCCAAAGAUUGGCUAAGUGGAAAACGAAGUGGGAAGGCUAAAACAGUCAGGAUGUUGGCUUAGAAGCAGCCAUCAUUUAAAGAAAGCGUAAUAGCUCACUGAUCGAGUCGUCCUGCGCGGAAGAUGUAACGGGGCUAAGCCAGUCACCGAAGCUGCGGAUAU